CUGUGCUAGGUGGGGAGCUAGCGGUGCCCUGUACCCGCAAUCCGCUACAGCGGGGCUGAAUUCCUUCAGGAGGGCUGGUUUUCCGGGGACUGUCCUCGUCAAGUGACGUUGACGGCCUGGUCCUGCGCGGCGGAGCGCCAUGAACCUGGUCAGGUCCGGAAGGAAGCAGCCAUAAGUGGUCAGCCCCGGGUGCCGCAGGUCUACCGGGCCCGAGUUGGCUGGCAGAGAGCAAGCUCGAAAUCCAGUUCGAAUGAAGGUGCACAG
Molecule: signal recognition particle RNA, 264 nt
Filed under: Dehalococcoidia bacterium
Lineage: Bacteria; Bacillati; Chloroflexota; Dehalococcoidia
Description: signal recognition particle sRNA large type
Rfam family: Bacterial large signal recognition particle RNA
About the family: The signal recognition particle (SRP) is a universally conserved ribonucleoprotein involved in the co-translational targeting of proteins to membranes.
Source: RNAcentral